RNAcentral lists this ribosomal RNA (1307 nucleotides) under uncultured bacterium. Its description in RNAcentral is "bacterial SSU rRNA". It matches the Rfam family "Bacterial small subunit ribosomal RNA", at positions 28 to 1381 of the family's 1533-position model. The record is from RNAcentral.
AACGUACGCUGGCGGCACGCCUAACACAUGCAAGUCGAACGAAGUAGCAAUACUUAGUGGCAGACGGGUGAGUAACAUGUAGGUAUCUGCCCUUUGGCCUGGAAUAACACGAGGAAACUUGUGCUAAUACCGGAUAAGUCUUUACGGAGAAAGCUUUAUGCACCAUUGGAUGAGCCUGCACUUGAUUAGUUUGUUGGUGGGGUAAUGGCCUACCAAGACUGUGAUCAAUAGCUGAUUUGAGAGGAUGAUCAGCCACAUUGGGACUGAGACACGGCCCAAACUCCUACGGGAGGCAGCAGUGGGGAAUCUUGCACAAUGGAGGAAACUCUGAUGCAGCGAUGCCGCGUGAGUGAAGAAGGCCCUUGGGUUGUAAAGCUCUUUCGUCGGGGAAGAAAAUGACUGUACCCGAAUAAGAAGGUCCGGCUAACUUCGUGCCAGCAGCCGCGGUAAUACGAAGGGACCUAGCGUAGUUCGGAAUUACUGGGCUUAAAGAGUUCGUAGGUGGUUGAAAAAGUUAGUGGUGAAAUCCCAGAGCUUAACUCUGGAACUGCCAUUAAAACUUUUCAGCUAGAGUAUGAUAGAGGAAAGCAGAAUUUCUAGUGUAGAGGUGAAAUUCGUAGAUAUUAGAAAGAAUACCAAUUGCGAAGGCAGCUUUCUGGAUCAUUACUGACACUGAGGAACGAAAGCAUGGGUAGCGAAGAGGAUUAGAUACCCUCGUAGUCCAUGCCGUAAACGAUGUGUGUUAGACGUUGGAAAUUUAUUUUCAGUGUCGCAGGGAAACCGAUAAACACACCGCCUGGGGAGUACGACCGCAAGGUUAAAACUCAAAUGAAUUGACGGGGACCCGCACAAGUAGUGGAGCAUGUGGUUUAAUUCGAAGAUACGCGCAGAACCCUUACCAACACUUGACAUGUUCGUCGCGACUCUAAGAGAUUAGAGUUUUCGGUUCGGCCGGACGAAACACAGGUGCUGCAUGGCUGUCGUCAGCUCGUGUCGUGAGAUGUUGGGUUAAGUCCCGCAACGAGCGCAACCCUCACUUUUAGUUGCCAUCAUUAAGUUGGGCACUCUGAAAGAACUGCCAGUGAUAAGCUGGAGGAAGGUGGGGAUGACGUCAAGUCCUCAUGGCCCUUACGUGUUGGGCUACACACGUGCUACAAUGGUAUCUACAACAGGAAGCAAGACUGCGAAGUUAAGCAAAUCCCUAAAAGAUACCUCAGUUCGGAUUGCGCUCUGCAACUCGAGUGCAUGAAGCUGGAAUUACUAGUAAUCGUGGAUCAGCGUGCCACGGUGAAUGCGUUCCCGGGUCU